RNAcentral lists this long non-coding RNA (316 nucleotides) under Felis catus (domestic cat). RNAcentral describes it as "lncRNA (ENSFCAG00000048189.1)". The record is from RNAcentral. Lineage: Eukaryota; Metazoa; Chordata; Mammalia; Carnivora; Felidae.
AACUGGAGCUCAGGUCGACAGAGAAAUGGCUGUGGAGAAGACACACAAAAGCUACAAAGUGUCCAUGUCCUUUGGCCUAAGCAAUAAAAAGGUGGGAAGAGCUGGUGAUCAGUGUUCACACAGGCGACCCUACUGUAUCGAAGACCGGUAUCCACAUUUAUCUCUGUCUUUCCUCAGAUUCCUGAGUGAUCAAAUGAUGACAAUUUCUGCUCUUCUGUACCAAGUUGAGGUCUAAUGCAUUAGAUCUACAUCGGGGAAAUGUACCUUCAGGGAGCUUAGAGCCUGUGCUAUUUUCCUUUCUAUAAUAAAAAAUCUA